Molecule: ribosomal RNA, 506 nt
Filed under: uncultured bacterium
Lineage: Bacteria
Description: partial 16S ribosomal RNA
Rfam family: Bacterial small subunit ribosomal RNA
Source: RNAcentral
AGUGAACGCUGGCGGUAGGCCUAACACAUGCAAGUCGAACGGCAGCACAGGAGAGCUUGCUCUCUGGGUGGCGAGCGGCGGACGGGUGAGGAAUACAUCGGAAUCUACUCUGUCGUGGGGGAUAACGUAGGGAAACUUACGCUGAUACCGCAUACGACCUACGGGUGAAAGCAGGGGAUCUUCGGACCUUGCGCGAUUGAAUGAGCCGAUGUCGGAUUAGCUAGUUGGCGGGGUAAAGGCCCACCAAGGCGACGAUCCGUAGCUGGUCUGAGAGGAUGAUCAGCCACACUGGAACUGAGACACGGUCCAGACUCCUACGGGAGGCAGCAGUGGGGAAUAUUGGACAAUGGGCGCAAGCCUGAUCCAGCCAUACCGCGUGGGUGAAGAAGGCCUUCGGGUUGUAAAGCCCUUUUGUUGGGAAAGAAAUCCAGCUGGCUAAUACCCGGUUGGGAUGACGGUACCCAAAGAAUAAGCACCGGCUAACUUAGUGCCAGCCGCCGCGGUAA